GGCUGCAGUGAUGCAAAGGGGAGAGAUUUGUUCCCUGGGGCUCCAGAAGAAAGUAUGACAACCAAGGAGUGGCAGAUACAGGGAGAGAGAUUUCGGUGAGAUAAAAAAGCGGAACUUUUAAAGGCAGUUUUCCUUUAAUAUGAGUCGUUCAAAUAUCACCACUUUCAUUUUUCUUCUUUCUUCUGUCACGUUUGUGAGAAGCAGUGUAACUCGGCGAUUAGGAACACAAACUGGGACAGAAACGCUUGGGUUCACUUUCCAGUCCUGUCACUUACUAGCUACAUAACUUUGGGCAAGUUACCUUACUUUCCCAUGCCUGUUUUCUCGCUAAUAAUAGUACCUACCUCAAAUAGUACUUAACCCAUGUGACUGUGGUGAAGAUUGAUUAAAUUAUACAUGCAAAGGGCUUAGGAUAGCGCCCAGCACACAGUAUGCGCUCAGCAAGUGGUAGCAACUAUUAUUUUUUAUUAUAAUCUCAUACCACUUAUACUAUUUAUUUAUUUAUUUUUUUUUUGCGGUACGCGGGCCUCUCACUGUUGUGGCCUCUCGCGUUGCGGAGCACAGGCUCCAGCACUUAUACUAUUUUUAAGUAGACACAUUACUUAUCUAAAUUUAUUUGAAAGGAAACUUUAUAUUACUACUGUAAAGGCAAAGCCAGAAACACUUGCCAUGUAUAGAUGGAAACUGUACAAAUAAACAUGAAACAAUGUUAUUAAAUCUUAGCUAGCUACUGUUGCCUGUUCCAUCCCCUGAAUUUAAGGACUGCUGCCUUUUCCGUAAGAAGGGAGACGAGCAAGUGUUACAGAAACGGUCUGGUACUUCACUGAAACCUCUUUUGUUGACUGUAGUCAGAAGGCAGAGUCUGGCAAGGUUAAGGAAGUGAAAGGCCAGUGUGGUUGCAGCUCCUGCUCUAGGCAGAGAGGCAGGGCCGGAUCAAAGGGACGGUUUAGAAAGGAAAUACCUCUCCAAGAAUGAGGCUUCGUCAUCUUUAGCACUACAGUGCUCUGCCACAUCGAAUCAUCCCACCAGGCACCCAGUGGUAUGAUCAGCACACUUCAAAAACCAGUCAGACACAUUUCAUAGACCACCGCGCUCCCCAGUGCCCCCCGGAGGAAACCUGCAGACAGUUUCCGGACACACCCCCUGCCUCUCACUUCUUUCUACUCGAAGACAUUUUCUGGCGGCAGGCUGCGUACUCCCGACCGCACGCAGAAGUUGGGGGUCUGCUGGGACGCACAGUGUCUCCGAGCAGCCCCAGAGAGACUGAGCCGUUUGCCCCAAGGACUGGCUGUUCGGGGAUUCGGGCAGGCUCUCCAGAGGAACCAGCUAGUGGAGGAUGUUUGCGUGCGAGCGACCUGGCGUCCAGCUCUGCCCCUAGGCCCAGCUUGACGACUGCGGGUCUCCAGGUCCCCACAGGCAACGACACGUGCGGCCGCUCCGACCUGUCUGGUCGUCCGCGGAGACCGCCGGCAGGGCUCGGCGGCCGCCACGCUGCCCACGCCUCAGCACAGAGGUUCGCGGGAAACGCCCGGGGCUCAGGA
Molecule: RNA transcript, 1541 nt
Organism: Physeter macrocephalus (sperm whale)
Lineage: Eukaryota; Metazoa; Chordata; Mammalia; Artiodactyla; Physeteridae
Gene: CHD9NB
Gene name: CHD9 neighbor
Exons: 2
Source: RefSeq, a predicted model, not a curated record